Molecule: ribosomal RNA, 492 nt
Filed under: uncultured bacterium
Lineage: Bacteria
Description: partial 16S ribosomal RNA
Rfam family: Bacterial small subunit ribosomal RNA
Source: RNAcentral
AGUGAACGCUGGCGGUAGGCCUAACACAUGCAAGUCGAACGGCAGCACAGUAAGAGCUUGCUCUUACGGGUGGCGAGUGGCGGACGGGUGAGGAAUACAUCGGAAUCUACUUUUUCGUGGGGGAUAACGUAGGGAAACUUACGCUAAUACCGCAUACGACCUACGGGUGAAAGCAGGGGAUCUUCGGACCUUGCGCGAUUGAAUGAGCCGAUGUCGGAUUAGCUAGUUGGCGGGGUAAAGGCCCACCAAGGCGACGAUCCGUAGCUAGUCUGAGAGGAUGAUCAGCCACACUGGAACUGAGACACGGUCCAGACUCCUACUGGAGGCAGCAGUUGGGAAUGUUGGACAAUGGGCGCGAGCCUGAUCCAACCAUACCGCGUGGGUGAAGUAGGCCUUCGGGUUGUAAAGCCCUUUUGUUGGGGAAGAAAAGCAGCAGGUUAAUACCCCGCUGUUCUGACGGUACCCAAAGAAUAAGCACCGGCUAACUUCGUG